AACGAACGCUGGCGGCAUGCCUAACACAUGCAAGUCGAACGGGAUCCUGGUUUCGGCCAGGUGAGAGUGGCGGACGGGUGAGUAACGCGUGGGAACCUGCCCAGUGGUGGGGGAUAACUGCGGGAAACUGCAGCUAAUACCGCAUGAGCCCGCAAGGGGAAAGAUUGAUCGCCAUUGGAGGGGCCCGCGUUCGAUUAGGUAGUUGGUGAGGUAACGGCUCACCAAGCCUACGAUCGAUAGCUGGUCUGAGAGGAUGAUCAGCCACACUGGGACUGAGAUACGGCCCAGACUCCUACGGGAGGCAGCAGUGGGGAAUAUUGGACAAUGGGGGCGAACCCUGAUCCAGCAAUGCCGCGUGAGUGAUGAAGGCCUUCGGUUGU
Molecule: ribosomal RNA, 380 nt
Filed under: uncultured bacterium
Lineage: Bacteria
Description: bacterial SSU rRNA
Rfam family: Bacterial small subunit ribosomal RNA
Source: RNAcentral